CUUUCUUCCUUUUUUUAGUUUGUGGUCAUUGUGGUUUUAAGUGCAAUAAAAUCNNNNNNNNNNNNUUUGCUAUUGUUUCUAAACAACCUGAAGUAGGAAGGAGAACAAGUAUGUUCGUUUGCUGCUGAAAGGGGAAGUUGACCAGGUUGGUAUUUAGUUGGCCAAUGCAGAAGUUACAGAGUCGUUUACAAUUUUAAUUUCCAGAUUUCAAUAUUUAAUGUCAGUAAUAACUAAAAUCUUUUGGAGAUCUCUAAGUAAUUAGUUACUAUUGUGCAUAGAACAAAUUUUGUAUUUGGAUCUUUUUCACUGGAGAUUAAGAUUUGUGUGUGAUAUGGAAAGGAAAAUAAACUGUUGACUGUAAAAGCUUUCUUAUGGUGAAGGAAUUUUAUGGUAAUACAGUGCAUGGUCAGUGUGAUCUAGAAGAAUGACUGAAGCAUAUGGAACUGAUAUAAUAUUGUAUGUUAAAUAUACAUCAGUUAAAAACAAAACUAGACUAACCCAGAGUCCUGGGUUCUGCUACUGCUAUUAACUAGCUUUAAGACUACGGGCAAGUCUUACAACUUCUCUUGACCUUAAUUUCCAGAUCUGGAAAAUGUGGAUAAUAAUCCUUACUUUGCCUCCUGGUGUGGAUGCUUUCAUGAUAAAUAGUAGCUUCUGUGUUGGUAAAAUAUUUGCAUCAGAAUGGAGUGAAGAGAGCAUUUGGUAAUAGAAUUUGUUUGCUUUCUUACUAAGUGUGAGUUCCUAGACAGAAGGCAGAGA
This 759-nucleotide long non-coding RNA is filed under the name Capra hircus (goat). Its description in RNAcentral is "lncRNA (ENSCHIG00010004077.1)". The record is from RNAcentral. Lineage: Eukaryota; Metazoa; Chordata; Mammalia; Artiodactyla; Bovidae.